Molecule: transfer RNA, 75 nt
Filed under: Escherichia coli
Lineage: Bacteria; Pseudomonadati; Pseudomonadota; Gammaproteobacteria; Enterobacterales; Enterobacteriaceae
Also listed under: 1 other name
Description: tRNA-Ile
Rfam family: tRNA
About the family: Transfer RNA (tRNA) molecules are approximately 80 nucleotides in length. Their secondary structure includes four short double-helical elements and three loops (D, anti-codon, and T loops).
Source: RNAcentral
AGGCUUGUAGCUCAGGUGGUUAGAGCGCACCCCUGAUAAGGGUGAGGUCGGUGGUUCAAGUCCACAGGCCUACCA